Camelus ferus (Wild Bactrian camel) is the source of this 72-nucleotide transfer RNA. It matches the Rfam family "tRNA". Rfam says of the family: Transfer RNA (tRNA) molecules are approximately 80 nucleotides in length. Their secondary structure includes four short double-helical elements and three loops (D, anti-codon, and T loops). The record is from Rfam. Lineage: Eukaryota; Metazoa; Chordata; Mammalia; Artiodactyla; Camelidae.
GAGGGUAGAGCUCAGUGGUAGAGCACAUGCUUAGCAUGCAUGAGGUCCUGGGUUCAAUCCCUAGCACCUCUG